Non-coding RNA from Chloroflexi bacterium RBG_16_48_8, 179 nucleotides. NCBI's taxonomy places the organism in Bacteria, Bacillati, Chloroflexota. The record is from Rfam.
GUCGUCGUGAGGCGGGGUCUGAAGGAAGCUGUAGGCAAACCUGCGAUGCUUGGGCUUCGCUCAGCACAGGCUCUGAGGAACACAAACCCCAUAAAGAGACUGUGAGGUUGGGCGAGUUGGCGUAUGACAACAAAGCCCUGAGGAAUGCUUAUUGGAAAGAAGCGGGGUUAGUAAGCAUC